This 468-nucleotide ribosomal RNA is filed under the name uncultured bacterium. RNAcentral's name for it is "partial 16S ribosomal RNA". It matches the Rfam family "Bacterial small subunit ribosomal RNA", at positions 28 to 507 of the family's 1533-position model. The record is from RNAcentral.
GACGAACGCUGGCGGCGUGCUUAACACAUGCAAGUCGAACGGAAAGGCCCUGCUUUUGUGGGGUGCUCGAGUGGCGAACGGGUGAGUAACACGUGAGUAACCUGCCCUUGACUUUGGGAUAACUUCAGGAAACUGGGGCUAAUACCGGAUAGGAGCUCCUGCUGCAUGGUGGGGGUUGGAAAGUUUCGGCGGUUGGGGAUGGACUUGCGGCUUAUCAGCUUGUUGGUGGGGUAGUGGCAUACCAAGGCUUUGACGGGUAGCCGGCCUGAGAGGGUGAGCGGCCACAGUGGGACUGAGAUACGGCCCAGACUCCUACGGGAGGGAGCAGUGGGGAAUAGUGCACAAUGGGCGGAAGCCUGAUGCAGAAACGCCGCGUGCGGGAUGACGGCCUUCGGGUUGUAGACCGCUUUCGCCUGUGACGAAGCGUGAGUGACGGUAAUGGGUAAAGAAGCACCGGCUAACUACGUG